AACGAACGCUGGCGGCGCGCCUAAUACAUGCAAGUCGAGCGAGAAGGUGUAGCAAUACACUUGUAAAGCGGCGAACGGGUGAGGAAUGCAUGGGUAACCUACCCUCGAGUGGGGAAUAACUAGCCGAAAGGUUAGCUAAUACCGCAUACGUUUCCGGAACUUCGGUUUCGGAAAGAAAGCAAUACCGUGGGUAUUGCGCUCCUGGAUGGGCUCAUGUCCUAUCAGCUUGUUGGUGAGGUAACGGCUCACCAAGGCUUCGACGGGUAGCUGGUCUGAGAGGACGAUCAGCCACACUGGCACUGCGACACGGGCCAGACUCCUACGGGAGGCAGCAGUAAGGAAUAUUGCGCAAUGGACGAAAGUCUGACGCAGCGACGCCGCGUGGGGGAUGAAGGUCUUCGGAUUGUAAACCCCUUUCGGGAGGGAAGAUGGAGUGGGUAACCACGUUGGACGGUACCUCCGAGAAGCAGCCACGGCUAACUUCGUGCCAGCAGCCGCGGUAAU
This 504-nucleotide ribosomal RNA is filed under the name uncultured bacterium. Its description in RNAcentral is "bacterial SSU rRNA". It matches the Rfam family "Bacterial small subunit ribosomal RNA", at positions 29 to 524 of the family's 1533-position model. The record is from RNAcentral.